Molecule: long non-coding RNA, 462 nt
Filed under: Ailuropoda melanoleuca (giant panda)
Lineage: Eukaryota; Metazoa; Chordata; Mammalia; Carnivora; Ursidae
Description: lncRNA (ENSAMEG00000030141.1)
Source: RNAcentral
AUGACAACAACAAAAAGAGUCCCCUCACUGCUGGUUGGGUUGGGCUUUAAAUUUUGGUCUCCCUCGACCUGCAUGCUGUUUACUUUUCAGAGUCCUCAAGUAGCUGGCGCAGACGUUCUGUGCAGAUGUCAUGCAUGCACCGUGAGGAAAAGCAAGAACAGCCUGUGUUCGUCCGUCUUAACCUGGAACCAGAACCGUGAAACAUGUCAUCUUCUGCUGGCUGCUGUACGCUUCUUCCUUGAGAAAUCAGAUUCUCAGGACCAGGAGGUAAAUGCUGCUUUCCUUCCAGUUGGAUUCUAGGGUUGGAAAUACCAAGUAAGAAAUUAGUGUAUAUGAUGCUGGAAACGUGUAGAGACGAGCUGCUCAUGACGGAAAGGCCUGCAACAGAUGUAUCUUUCAAGUUCUUGCCAAGAAAACGACUAUGAAGAACACGAUGGGUCAAGAAGACCAGUGGAAAACUCC